GACGAACGCUGGCGGCGUGCCUAAUACAUGCAAGUAGAACGCACAGUUUAUACCGUAGCUUGCUACACCAUAAACUGUGAGUUGCGAACGGGUGAGUAACGCGUAGGUAACCUGCCUGGUAGCGGGGGAUAACUAUUGGAAACGAUAGCUAAUACCGCAUAAUAUUGAUUAUUGCAUGAUAAUUGAUUGAAAGAUGCUAUUGCAUCACUACCAGAUGGACCUGCGUUGUAUUAGCUAGUAGGUGAGGUAACGGCUCACCUAGGCGACGAUACAUAGCCGACCUGAGAGGGUGAUCGGCCAAACUGGGACUGAGACACGGCCCAGACUCCUACGGGAGGCAGCAGUAGGGAAUCUUCGGCAAUGGACGAAAGUCUGACCGAGCAACGCCGCGUGAGUGAAGAAGGGUUUCGGAUCGUAAAGCUCUGUUGUAAAAGAAGAACGGGUGUGAGAGUGGAAAGUUCACACUGUGACGGUAUCUUACCAGAAAGGGACGGCUAACUACGUG
RNAcentral lists this ribosomal RNA (505 nucleotides) under uncultured bacterium. Its description in RNAcentral is "partial 16S ribosomal RNA". It matches the Rfam family "Bacterial small subunit ribosomal RNA", at positions 28 to 507 of the family's 1533-position model. The record is from RNAcentral.